Molecule: ribosomal RNA, 386 nt
Filed under: Corbicula fluminea
Lineage: Eukaryota; Metazoa; Mollusca; Bivalvia; Venerida; Cyrenidae
Description: SSU rRNA
Rfam family: Eukaryotic small subunit ribosomal RNA
Source: RNAcentral
CAAAGAUUAAGCCAUGCAUGUCUAAGUACACGCCUCAAGACGGCGAGACUGCGAAUGGCUCAUUAAAUCAGUUAUGGUUCCUUAGAUCGUACAAUCCUACUUGGAUAACUGUGGCAAUUCUAGAGCUAAUACAUGCAACACAGCUCCGACCUCGCGGGAAGAGCGCUUUUGUUAGCCCAAAACCAAUCCGGUCCUCGCGGCCGGCCCACCUGGUGACUCUGAACAACUUUGUGCCGAUCGCAUGCCCUAGCGGCGGCGACGUAUCUUUCAAAUGUCUGCCCUAUCAACUGUCGAUGGUACGUGCUAUGCCUACCAUGGUGAUAACGGGUAACGGGGAAUCAGGGUUCGAUUCCGGAGAGGGAGCAUGAGAUACGGCUACCACAUCC